This 252-nucleotide ribosomal RNA is filed under the name uncultured bacterium. Its description in RNAcentral is "partial 16S ribosomal RNA". It matches the Rfam family "Bacterial small subunit ribosomal RNA", at positions 524 to 776 of the family's 1533-position model. The record is from RNAcentral.
UACGUAGGGGCAAGCGUUGUCCGGAUUUAUUGGGCGUAAAGAGCGUGUAGGCGGCCAUACAGGUCCGUUGUGAAAACUGGAGGCUUAACCUCCAGACGUCGAUGGAAACCGUAUGGCUAGAGUCCGGAAGAGGAGAGUGGAAUUCCUGGUGUAGCGGUGAAAUGCGCAGAUAUCAGGAAGAACACCCGUGGCGAAGGCGGCUCUCUGGGACGGUACUGACGCUGAGACGCGAAAGCGUGGGGAGCGAACAGG